Non-coding RNA from Sordaria brevicollis, 97 nucleotides. The record is from the annotation of a GenBank genome assembly. Lineage: Eukaryota; Fungi; Ascomycota; Sordariomycetes; Sordariales; Sordariaceae.
GGCCCGUUGGUGUAACUGGGAACAUUCUCGGCGAGACUUAGAUGCUCGUCUGCAUACGUGCCGCAGGAAGACGACGGUUCGAAUCCGUCACGGGUCG